GGAUAGCUCAGCUGGUUAGAGUAUGGUACUGAUAACUCCAAGGUUUCAGAUUUGAUCCCUGUUUGAUCCU
Podarcis lilfordi (Lilford's wall lizard) is the source of this 70-nucleotide non-coding RNA. The record is from the annotation of a GenBank genome assembly. Lineage: Eukaryota; Metazoa; Chordata; Lepidosauria; Squamata; Lacertidae.